RNAcentral lists this ribosomal RNA (496 nucleotides) under uncultured bacterium. Its description in RNAcentral is "partial 16S ribosomal RNA". It matches the Rfam family "Bacterial small subunit ribosomal RNA", at positions 28 to 506 of the family's 1533-position model. The record is from RNAcentral.
GACGAACGCUGGCGGCGUGCCUAAUACAUGCAAGUGGAACGCUGAAGAGAGGAGCUUGCUCUUCUUGGAUGAGUUGCGAACGGGUGAGUAACGCGUAGGUAACCUGCCUUGUAGCGGGGGAUAACUAUUGGAAACGAUAGCUAAUACCGCAUAACAAUGGAUGACACAUGUCAUUUAUUUGAAAGGGGCAAUUGCUCCACUACAAGAUGGACCUGCGUUGUAUUAGCUAGUAGGUGAGGUAAUGGCUCACCUAGGCGACGAUACAUAGCCGACCUGAGAGGGUGAUCGGCCACACUGGGACUGAGACACGGCCCAGACUCCUACGGGAGGCAGCAGUAGGGAAUCUUCGGCAAUGGGGGCAACCCUGACCGAGCAACGCCGCGUGAGUGAAGAAGGUUUUCGGAUCGUAAAGCUCUGUUGUAAGUCAAGAACGGGUGUGAGAGUGGAAAGUUCACACUGUGACGGUAGCUUACCAGAAAGGGACGGCUAACUACGU